RNAcentral lists this ribosomal RNA (485 nucleotides) under Tomocerus qinae. Its description in RNAcentral is "partial large subunit ribosomal RNA". It matches the Rfam family "Bacterial large subunit ribosomal RNA", at positions 1815 to 2610 of the family's 2925-position model. Lineage: Eukaryota; Metazoa; Arthropoda; Collembola; Entomobryomorpha; Tomoceridae. The record is from RNAcentral.
ACAUUUCUUUUAGAUUUUUUUAAAAGUAAAGUCUGCCCACUGUUUUUAAUAAAGGGCCGCGGUAUUUUGACCGUGCAAAGGUAGCAUAAUCAUUAGUCUCUUAAUUGGGGAAUGGAAUGAAUGGCUUAAUGAUUUUUUUCUUUUAUUUAUAAUAUUUUUAAAAUUUUGAUUUUAAGUGAAAAUACUUAAAUUUUUUAGUAAGACGAUAAGACCCUAUAGAAUUUUAUUUCUUUAUUUUAUUUAAAUAAACUUAGAAGUUUAAAUGGGGCAUUUAUUGAAUAUAUGUAAUUUCUAUAAAAUAUAUUAAAAAAUAUCUUUAUUUUUAGAUUAUUAAAAAAUUACCUUAGGGAUAACAGCGUAAUAAUUUUUGAGAGUUCAUAUCGACAAAAUAGUUUGCGACCUCGAUGUUGAAUUAAAAUGCCUCUAUAAAGCAGCUUUUAUAAAAGGUAGUCUGUUCGACUAUAAAAUUUUUACAUGAUUUGAGU